GUUCAAAAGGACCACAGCUCGGCAAAUCCACCAGCAGACAUAAUAAUGGAGAAAUAUUCUAUUUAAGAGGAAGAAAGGGUGCCAUGCAAGGGACAUUAUCCUGCCGCUAAAGCAUGGUCGGACAUAAUACCCACAGUUUCCUAUUGUGUGUAUUUUAUGGAGAAGGAAGGUGAUGGGGGGCCUUUUAAAAUGUCUGCCUACACGAUUGGGUUUCUUUCAUUGAUGGUUCUC
This is a non-coding RNA of Pelobates cultripes (western spadefoot toad), 231 nucleotides long. The record is from the annotation of a GenBank genome assembly. NCBI's taxonomy places the organism in Eukaryota, Metazoa, Chordata, Amphibia, Anura, Pelobatidae.